RNAcentral lists this ribosomal RNA (57 nucleotides) under Symbiodinium sp. clade D. RNAcentral's name for it is "Durusdinium sp. clade D partial 5.8S ribosomal RNA". Lineage: Eukaryota; Dinophyceae; Suessiales; Symbiodiniaceae. The record is from RNAcentral.
UGAACGCGCAUUGCACUCUUAGGACUUCCUGAGAGUAUGUUUGCUUCGGUGCUUAUU